Molecule: long non-coding RNA, 247 nt
Organism: Lacerta agilis (Sand lizard)
Lineage: Eukaryota; Metazoa; Chordata; Lepidosauria; Squamata; Lacertidae
Exons: 3
Source: RefSeq, a predicted model, not a curated record
AAGAAGGGAUAGCAGGAGGCCCCUGGAAUUGCCCAUCCACAAAGUUUGCUGCAUCUGAUCAGCAGAUGGAGCAGGGCCAGGCACACAGGUCACCUAGUCACUUUCUUCUCUGAUAUGCCUGCAGUUGGAGAUCUGUUUGCAGUAAAUUCUGGAAUCUCUAUUUGGGCUGCAGAGCUGCUCAUUUUCAUGUCAGUCCCUUCUGGAGUCCCAUUUGCAGCAGCUUUGAUGUCGGAUGCAAGCUUCCUGG